This 244-nucleotide ribosomal RNA is filed under the name uncultured Actinomycetes bacterium. RNAcentral's name for it is "uncultured actinobacterium partial 16S ribosomal RNA". It matches the Rfam family "Bacterial small subunit ribosomal RNA", at positions 28 to 276 of the family's 1533-position model. The record is from RNAcentral. Lineage: Bacteria; Bacillati; Actinomycetota; Actinomycetes.
GACGAACGCUGGCGGCGUGCUUAACACAUGCAAGUCGAACGAUGAAGCCUUUUGGGGUGGAUUAGUGGCGGACGGGUGAGUAACACGUGGGCAAUCUGCCCUGUACUUUGGGAUAAGCCUUGGAAACGAGGUCUAAUACCGGAUAUGACUGGCCUUCGCAUGGGGGUUGGUUGAAAGUUCUGGCGGUACAGGAUGAGCCCGCGGCCUAUCAGCUUGUUGGUGGGGUGAUGGCCUACCAAGGCGA